AACGGCGAGUGAAGCGGCAACAGCUCAAAUUUGAAAUCUGGCUCUUUUAGAGUCCGAGUUGUAAUUUGCAGAGGGCGCUUUGGCUUUGGCAGCGGUCCAAGUUCCUUGGAACAGGACGUCACAGAGGGUGAGAAUCCCGUACGUGGUCGCUGGCUAUUGCCGUGUAAAGCCCCUUCGACGAGUCGAGUUGUUUGGGAAUGCAGCUCUAAAUGGGAGGUACAUUUCUUCUAAAGCUAAAUAUUGGCCAGAGACCGAUAGCGCACAAGUAGAGUGAUCGAAAGAUGAAAAGCACUUUGGAAAGAGAGUCAAACAGCACGUGAAAUUGUUGAAAGGGAAGCGCUUGCAGCCAGACUUGCUUACAGUUGCUCAUCCGGGUUUUUACCCGGUGCACUCUUCUGUAGGCAGGCCAGCAUCAGUUUGGGCGGUAGGAUAAAGGUCUCUGUCACGUACCUCCUUUCGGGGAGGCCUUAUAGGGGAGACGACAUACUACCAGCCUGGACUGAGGUCCGCGCAUCUGCUAGGAUGCUGGCGUAAUGGCUGUAAGCGGCCCGUCUUGAAACACGGACCAAGGAGUCUAACAUCUAUGCGAGUGUUUGGGUGUCAAGCCCGAGCGCGUAAUGAAAGUGAACGGAGGUGGGAACCCGCAAGGGUGCACCAUCGACCGAUCCUGAUGUCUUCGGAAGGAUUUGAGUAAGAGCAUGGCUGUUGGGACCCGAAAGAUGGUGAACUAUGCUUGAAUAGGGUGAAGCCAGAGGAAACUCUGGUGGAGGCUCGCAGCGGUUCUGA
RNAcentral lists this ribosomal RNA (786 nucleotides) under Alternaria sp. RNAcentral's name for it is "partial large subunit ribosomal RNA". It matches the Rfam family "Eukaryotic large subunit ribosomal RNA", at positions 85 to 889 of the family's 3401-position model. The record is from RNAcentral. Lineage: Eukaryota; Fungi; Ascomycota; Dothideomycetes; Pleosporales; Pleosporaceae.